RNAcentral lists this ribosomal RNA (119 nucleotides) under Pteropus alecto (black flying fox). The record is from RNAcentral. Lineage: Eukaryota; Metazoa; Chordata; Mammalia; Chiroptera; Pteropodidae.
GGUUAUGGCCAUGCCACUCUGAAUGUGCUCAAUCUCGUCUGAUCUUAGAAGCUAAGCAGGAUCGGGCCUUGUUAGUUCUUGGAUGGGAGACCACCUAGGAAGACCAGGUGCUGUGUUUA